RNAcentral lists this ribosomal RNA (450 nucleotides) under uncultured bacterium. Its description in RNAcentral is "bacterial SSU rRNA". It matches the Rfam family "Bacterial small subunit ribosomal RNA", at positions 329 to 793 of the family's 1533-position model. The record is from RNAcentral.
GGCCAGACUCCUACGGGAGGCAGCAGUGGGAAAUAUUGCACAAGGGGGGGAACCCUGAUGCAGCAAUGCCGCGUGAAGGAUGAAGGUUUUCGGAUUGUAAACUUCUUUUGUACGGGACGAAGAAAGUGACGGUACCGUAAGAAUAAGCACCGGCUAACUCCGUGCCAGCAGCCGCGGUAAUACGGAGGGUGCAAGCGUUACUCGGAAUCACUGGGCGUAAAGAGUGCGUAGGCGGGGUAAUAAGUCAGAUGUGAAAUCCUGUAGCUUAACUACAGAACUGCAUUUGAAACUGUUACUCUGGAGUGUGGGAGAGGUAGGUGGAAUUCUUGGUGUAGGGGUAAAAUCCGUAGAGAUCAAGAGGAAUACUCAUUGCGAAGGCGACCUGCUGGAACAUUACUGACGCUGAUGCACGAAAGCGUGGGGAGCAAACAGGAUUAGAUACCCCCGUAU